AAUAUUUGUCUUUCAACCCACGUCAGGUUGAUGAAUUUUAAAUGACGGCUGUAUAAUAUGGUUUAAUCAUUAUUUGAAAAUUUAUUUAAGAAACUUUUUGGAGUUAGAAGAGGAUAGGAAUAUUUCGAAGGAAAACAAUGGACUUUUGAUAUCUGUGAACGGUGUUAUUUAUGAGAAGAAAGCUUAGCAGAAUAAAUUGUUGGUGUUUGUAAACAACGUCAUCGUUUUUGGUUGAUUCUGUUGUAUAUUUGUUCUGCCUGUGGAAUUAUAAUGCAAAUAAAGGACACGUGUACUUUACUGUUGACAUUCAUCGUAGUUCUUGUCUGUCAAGUAUCUUCAAAAGAUCUGUUUUCAUCCGAUCAGGGAGAAGAUAGUGGUAGAAUAGAUGAUCUUGAUAUUAUAGCAGACGGGAGAUCUAAACGGACUAAUUACAGGACUUUAAAUGACAUUCAAAGUCAAAAUUCACUUCUGUCGAUACCGUAUAAAGCUCGUACUUCACUUUUCCCAAGGCAGCUACGACAAAGUCCUUAUUUUGCCCUGCGUGGUAAAAGAAUUCCAAAAGGUGAAUACAUUAAUUCUGGUGAUAGCGAUCUUUUCAACGAAGAAAGCAUUGGGGAUAUCCCUUCAAGUUCCCUGCAGUCCCGAGACAAAAGGAUGAUUUCUCUACUUACUUUACCAGAUCCACGAUAUGAAUCACUGAUAAGAAGAGUAAUAGGCCAAUCAAUGAAGAUGUCCAAUGCUAAAGCUAGAGAUUUGAUGAUGGAUAAGAGACAACACUACCGAUUCCAUGCACUCCGAGGAUGAUAUAGAAAAGACAUGAUUCAGGAUAGUGAUCAAACAUACCUGAAUUAAUACAAUUCUAAAUUAACAUGCUUGUUACAUUUUUACCCAUUUUAGCUAAAAUAACAUGUCUACGAUAAUAAAUUACAUCUAAUCCCUUAUCCCUUAACAUUCCUGAUUUACUAGCUCAUACAAAUAACGCAAAUAAGCAUUUAAGAGUGAUUUGGCUCCUAAAAUUCUAAUGUCUGACAUCUGGUCUGGCAAAUGAAAAAAAUUGCAUAAAAGAUUUGAAGAUCACAAUUGAAAUAUAAAUGUAUGACUUUUGAUAAUACUUGUCUGACCAAGUCAAAAUUUGCCUGAAACGUAAGCCGGUCUUGCAUAUUUCGGGACUUCUAAAUGCCACUAGUCUUGAUUUCCGGAAAAAAAUAUUUGAACUUUUUCAACUUUACAGUACAAUCUAAAAACAGGUGUUUAGAGUCUUAAGACAACCCUUAGCAUAUGUAUAUAUAUAAUUCAUCUCCUGUAAAUAUCUUCAAUUUGUCUAGCUGUUACUGUCUAAAUUACUGUCUAGCUCUAGUUAGAUGCUUUUAAAAUAUAUUUCAGGAGCUAACACUUGUUUACAGAAGGCAAUACCUUAUUUAUAUUUAUGUUAGCGAAGUAAGUCUUUUAUCAAUGUUCUAACACUUAUUUCAUUUCCAUCACUACAAAUAAAAUUUAUUGAAUUAACUUGCA
Mytilus californianus (California mussel) is the source of this 1512-nucleotide long non-coding RNA. RefSeq lists it as uncharacterized. The transcript has 4 exons. Lineage: Eukaryota; Metazoa; Mollusca; Bivalvia; Mytilida; Mytilidae. The record is from RefSeq and is a predicted model, not a curated record.